CCUAACCUUAUCAUUUAGAGGAAGGAGAAUUMGUAACAAGGUUUCCGUAGGUGAACCUGCGGAAGGAUCAUUGU
This 74-nucleotide ribosomal RNA is filed under the name Silene dinarica. RNAcentral describes it as "partial 18S ribosomal RNA". It matches the Rfam family "Eukaryotic small subunit ribosomal RNA". The record is from RNAcentral. Lineage: Eukaryota; Viridiplantae; Streptophyta; Magnoliopsida; Caryophyllales; Caryophyllaceae.